GUUUACUAAGAUAUUUGCACAAGAAACUAGACCAAAAUUACUUGGUAAAAUUUAGUUUUUUGCAGUGUGCAAAGGGGUUUCUGAUGAGAUGAAACUACAUUAACCAGAGGAACCCCAACAUGUGCAAAAUAUCUUUUUCUUUAGGGACUUUAAACAGAUUAGACCACAUAUGGCUGAUAUAACACGUUUUUAUAUUUGUGACAGAUAUGAAUGGCAUUGAAUUAUAACAUUUCUCAGUUCAGCUGGUAAGAUUAGUCGACUGCAACAGGGAAGCUGAUUUCUUCUCUGGUUACUAGCAGAAAAAAAAGGACAAGGAUGCAAACCAAACUUGCCACUUAAUUUUAUAAUUUUUAAUAAGGAAAGUUACGGCAGCGACAGAUAGCAGCUGUUAAUCAUAAUGACUGAUCAGCUGUUAAUCAUAAUGACUGAUCAGCCCUCGGUGUAAUCAUGGAUUUGCAGCAAACACUUUUUACAAGGAUCGUUCCAACAACUGCAGUUAGUUGCCAGAUCUCGAAGAAGCACAGCGGCUCCAGACCAUAACACGACAAAAACCACGUUUGACUUUAGAACGGCAUCAUCAGGAUGUUUCUUGACAAACAUCAGAUGCACCAUUUUGUUCAUUUUGUGCCAGCAGAGGUUUUCACCUUGAAACUGUCUACAGGAUGCAAUUUUUUCCCCAUUUCUUUCUUAUUGCUGAACCACGGGCUUUUAUUGGUGAACCAUGGACUCUGGUUAGUGAGUCCUACAGUGCUUCAGACGUGGAUCUGGGUUCAUCAGUGAACUCCUGGAGGAGUCGUCAGUGUGGUUUUUCUAGAGUCCCAAUGCUUUGAAAUGACUUUAACCUUUUUUAGGUUGAUAGUUGUCAGUGUCUUUGCUUUUAGUUUAUUUUUAAAUCGUUGAUUCUGAGAUUUUUCACCAAUUUUAUGUCAGACAUUUUACUGUAGCCAGUGAAACAAAAGUUAACUUUUUACACAUUUGGUAGCUCAUGCUUAAUUAAUUUUAAGAAAGGGGGGGAAAUUACUUUUUCCACAAUGAUCCAGGUUGACUUAGAAGGUUUUUCCCCUUUUAAUCAUUAAAAUCAUAACUUAAAAACAGCAUUUUGUAUUUGUUUAGGUUAUCUUUGUCUAACACUAAGAUAUGUUUUGGUGAUUUGAAACAUUUCAGUGUAAUAAAAUCAAAAAUAUUUAAAAUCUGUUCAGAGACAAAUAAUCUUUUGCUGUAGCUUGACAACAUUUUGAGAGUUUCCAUUCAGAGUAAAAAUAUGAUUCUAUCUGAUUAAAAUGUUUAACAUUGUGAUGCUUUACCCUUAUAAAUGAGUAAACUUAACAACAGCUUAAAGGCUAUUGGAAUAACAUUUUCCCAAAACUACUGACAGUUUUGAGUUCAGAGUUUUCUACUAAGGUAAGAUUUUCGCUGCUUAUAACUCAACAACUCCCAAAUCCCCGCCCUUUACCUCAUGCAGUUGUUUAAACGUACAACACUUCAGUACCUCUGUCCUAAACAACAUGCCCACGAGGAUGAAACCUACCGACUGCAAACACUUACUACUUUUGUUUGUAUUAUUUAGCAGACAUCUGCAAGGAAGGUGGCUCGGUAUUCUUGGAGCUCAAAGUACUUGGCGGUGAUACAGUAAUUGCUAAAGACGCUGACAGCAAAAUGCAGCUUACAGAGCCAUUAUGGAGCUUUAUUUAUGCUCCAGAGCCAGCAGGCAGGGAACGAGAGCGAGAGAGGAAGAUGGAGAAAUGGAGGGCAGAGUCUCGAGCUAUAAAAACAGCUUUGAAGUCCAGCCGUCUCACCUCAUCUCUGUCAUCCAGGUCCACUGGAAUUGAUAGAGUGCCUCACUCACUUACUCUCACACACACACACACAUUCGGCCCCCUUGUUCCAUUAAAACAUGGGCAGCAGGGGUGAAGUCCAAGACCGAGGCUCUGAGCCAAUUGUACCAAACUGGUGGCAGCAAAAAGUCACAUGAGUGAUUACAGAGAGCUGCAGCAGGACUUUAUGAAGACAUUCAUCACCAAACUGAGGAUGAAACCGUAGGACUCUAAUGGUGGCGUUUAGGCUCCGAACAUCUGUAGUGUUCGUUUCAAUUGCAGUUCUGCUGGAGAUGAAACAGAUUCUCCAGUUGCUUGGCGCGCUCCGAGUGCCCCACAGUCCUCAACGAUUCAACAUCCCUGGACUUUGUCUCUGUGGACCUUCAGUGAAAAUUGUGGCAUUUUAGUCUUGAUUGCACACAUUUCUGGGGCCUGACUUUCUUUAAUUUUUUUUUUUAGAAGUUUGGGUCAAACCUCACAGCAACUCUGCUGCAUAAGAUGAAAAACUUAAUCAUAUUCAUCUGGGGAACGGACAGGCCUGUGUGAACGCUACGAAAAUUUGCUUAUUUUACUGUACCACCGCGAGGACCAGGCCAGGUUCCUCCGUCCCUGACUGUGUCUCAGGCUGUGUGUGGAAAUUGAAACUGGCAUCUCAGAGUGUCUUUUAUAUCCAUGCCAAACGGCUUUGAUGACUUUCCAUGUGUUUUCCUUGCGUGCCUCCAGAGUGGAGCGGUGAAGUGGUUUGAACGUGGUAGUUGCUGCAGAGAAACCCUUGGCCUCUGACCUUCAUGUGAAGUCUGCACCGUGUAAGUGCA
Molecule: long non-coding RNA, 2629 nt
Organism: Xiphophorus couchianus (Monterrey platyfish)
Lineage: Eukaryota; Metazoa; Chordata; Actinopteri; Cyprinodontiformes; Poeciliidae
Exons: 3
Source: RefSeq, a predicted model, not a curated record